GGUCUCCAUCAUUCACUUCUGCUGUGCAAGAACUUGCCUCGAGUUAUUUGAUGUUAAAGCUACAUUUAUUGAUGAACCAAAUGAUGAUUAGUUGGUCAUGAAUCCCAACAUUAGAUGUCACAUGAGGCUCCAAAUAGAACUUGAACUCCGGCUGACAAAUGAUCCCAUCAUAAAAGGAUUGUUCUUCACUAAAAUAAAUCCUGAUUUACGUUGAAUCAGUCCACA
This 225-nucleotide long non-coding RNA is filed under the name Elaeis guineensis (African oil palm). RNAcentral describes it as "long non-coding RNA (EGUI_LNC030387)". The record is from RNAcentral. Lineage: Eukaryota; Viridiplantae; Streptophyta; Magnoliopsida; Arecales; Arecaceae.